Molecule: unclassified non-coding RNA, 276 nt
Filed under: plant metagenome
Description: partial contains small subunit ribosomal RNA, internal transcribed spacer 1, and 5.8S ribosomal RNA
Source: RNAcentral
UUUCCGUAGGUGAACCAGCGGAGGGAUCAUUAAAGGAAGCGCCGCCACGAGGUUUAUAUCUAUUGAGAACCUCUUCGUCAGGGUUGCAUCAGACGCAACGCGAACGGGAACCGUUUCCUCACACGCGGCCAAGUCCCAGCGCAUUAAUUUGAUAACAAACGUUGAAAACAACUCUCAGCUACGGCUCUCUUGGCUCUCGCAUCGAAGAAGAAAGCAGCAGAACGGAAGAACAAACGUCUGCAUUCUUCUCACGCGGAUCAAGCUCGUAUGCCGUCG